This 443-nucleotide ribosomal RNA is filed under the name uncultured dinoflagellate. RNAcentral's name for it is "bacterial SSU rRNA". It matches the Rfam family "Bacterial small subunit ribosomal RNA", at positions 954 to 1401 of the family's 1533-position model. The record is from RNAcentral. Lineage: Eukaryota; Dinophyceae.
AUGAUACGCGAGGACCCUUACCUAGGCUCUAAUUAUAGUGACUUUUCCUGAAAGGAGAAAUUCCUUCGGGAUGUAGAACAAGGUGCUGCAUGGUUGUCGUCAGCUCGUGCCGUGAGGUGUUGGGUUAAGUCCCGCAACGAGCGCAACCCUUAUUUUUAGUUGCUAAUUUAUUUUAGGUUUUCUAGAAAGACUGCCGGUGACAAACCGGAGGAAGGUGAGGAUGACGUCAAGUCAGCAUGCCCCUUAUGCCUUGGGCUACACACGUGCUACAAUGGUUAAGACAAAGAGUUGCGAGCUCGCGAGAGUCAGCUAAUCUCAUAAACUUAGCCUAAGUUCGGAUUGUAGGCUGCAACUCGCCUGCAUGAAGUCGGAAUCGCUAGUAAUCGCGUAACAGCAUGACGCGGUGAAUACGUUCCCGGGCCUUGUACACACCGCCCGUCACA